GAUGAAGAACGUAGCGAAAUGCGAUAAGUAAUGUGAAUUGCAGAGUUUAGUGAAUCAUCGAAUCUUUGAACGCACAUUGCGCCCGCCAGUAUUCUGGCGGGCAUGCCUGUUCGAGCGUCAUUACAACCCUCAGGCCCCCGGGCCUGGCGUUGGGGAUCGGCAGAAGCCCCCUGUGGGCACACGCCGUCCCUCAAAUACAGUGGCGGUCCCGCCGCAGCUUCCAUUGCGUAGUAGCUAACACCUCGCAACUGGAGAGCGGCGCGGCCAUGCCGUAAAACACCCAACUUCUGAAUGUUGACCUCGAAUCAGGUAGGAAUACCCGCUGAACUUAAGCAUAUCAAUAAGCGGAGGA
This 352-nucleotide unclassified non-coding RNA is filed under the name soil metagenome. RNAcentral's name for it is "partial contains 5.8S ribosomal RNA, internal transcribed spacer 2, and large subunit ribosomal RNA". The stretch from base 1 to 120 matches the Rfam family "5.8S ribosomal RNA", at positions 35 to 154 of the family's 154-position model. The record is from RNAcentral.